This 435-nucleotide ribosomal RNA is filed under the name uncultured bacterium. RNAcentral's name for it is "bacterial SSU rRNA". It matches the Rfam family "Bacterial small subunit ribosomal RNA", at positions 66 to 513 of the family's 1533-position model. The record is from RNAcentral.
ACGAUGAAGUUCUCUUCGGAGAGCGGAUUAGUGGCGAACGGGUGAGGAACACGUGAAGAAUCUGCCCUCCACUUUGGGAUAACUCCGGGAAACCGGGGCUAAUACCGAAUAUUGAAGCAUAAGCGGCAUCGCUGAGCUUUGAAAGAAUUUCGGUGGAGGAUGACUUCGCGGCCUAUCAGCUUGUUGGUGAGGUAAUGGCUCACCAAGGCUACGACGGGUAUCCGGCCUGAGAGGGCGACCGGACACACUGGGACUGAGACACGGCCCAGACUCCUACGGGAGGCAGCAGUGGGGAAUAUUGGGCAAUGGACGCAAGUCUGACCCAGCGACGCCGCGUGAGGGAUAAAGGCCUUCGGGUUGUAAACCUCUUUCAGUAGGGAAGAAGCGAAAGUGACGGUACCUACAAAAGAAGCACCGGCUAACUAUGUGUCUGUG